This 348-nucleotide unclassified non-coding RNA is filed under the name soil metagenome. Its description in RNAcentral is "partial contains 5.8S ribosomal RNA, internal transcribed spacer 2, and large subunit ribosomal RNA". The stretch from base 1 to 120 matches the Rfam family "5.8S ribosomal RNA", at positions 35 to 154 of the family's 154-position model. The record is from RNAcentral.
GAUGAAGAACGCAGCGAAAUGCGAUAAGUAAUGUGAAUUGCAGAAUUCAGUGAAUCAUCGAAUCUUUGAACGCACAUUGCGCCCGCCAGUAUUCUGGCGGGCAUGCCUGUCUGAGCGUCAUUUCAACCCUCAUGCCCCUAGGGCGUGGUGUUGGGGAUCGGCCAAAGCCCGCGAGGGACGGCCGGCCCCUAAAUCUAGUGGCGGACCCGUCGUGGCCUCCUCUGCGAAGUAGUGAUAUUCCGCAUCGGAGAGCGAUGAGCCCCUGCCUUUAAACCCCCAACUUUCCAAGGUUGACCUCAGAUCAGGUAGGAAUACCCGCUGAACUUAAGCAUAUCAAUAAGCGGAGGA